AUGCUCUCUUCAGCGGCCCAUAUACUAAAAUUGGAACGACACGGAGAAGAUUAGCAAGGCCCUGUGAAGGCUGACAUGCAAAUUCAUGACACGGUCCAUAUUUUU
Small nuclear RNA from Loxodonta africana (African savanna elephant), 105 nucleotides. Lineage: Eukaryota; Metazoa; Chordata; Mammalia; Proboscidea; Elephantidae. The record is from Ensembl.